Molecule: non-coding RNA, 244 nt
Organism: Pelobates cultripes (western spadefoot toad)
Lineage: Eukaryota; Metazoa; Chordata; Amphibia; Anura; Pelobatidae
Source: the annotation of a GenBank genome assembly
GAGGAGAUCACCCAGCUCGUCAUGCUAAAGAACUUUUUCAAUGGGCUCCCCAACGACAACGCGAUGACGCAUUCGGAUGUCAUCCAUAUCAACGUUCAGUGCCACUUUCUGCACCUACCAUGGUGACCACAGGUAACGGGGAAUCAGGGUUGAUUCCGGAGAGGGAGCCUGAGAAACGGCUACCACAUGCAAGGAAGGCAGCAGGUGCGCAAAUGACCCACUCCCGACGCGGGAUGGUACUGAC